UCUGAUUUAGAAGAACAUUGUUAUCAUAGAUUCGAAUCCUAUCGCACCUCAUGAGUGUAUAUACCGAUCUGACUCAUAACUUGCUUCUGACGAAGAAAAACAUCGUGAAACCUGCACUCCAGUUGACGAUUAAUUAGCAAGUUGAAAAAUGCAGAAAGUAAUGAUAAACUUCUUUUAAUAUCACCAAGAACGUCAUUAUGUGUGUUACAUUCCACAUAAUGGCCACGAUCCUCAUUCAAUGGAAAUCGAUAAGAAAAAAACUGACGUAGAUGAAUAAUAAACAAUUUCGUUCAUUUGCUUUCCUCAAGGUGACCUGGGCUGAAAGAGUUUGCACUAGCGAUAAGGCCGCCUAUUGUACACUUUUCGUUUUUAGAGCAAUAAGGUGUUGUUUUUUACUUAACUACUUAAAUAAACAUCGAAUCCAUCGCUGUGAUCGCCGUGAACCAAGUAUUUUAAAAUGCAAAUGCAAACGGCUGCAACAGCUUGUCCGCAAGGUGUUAAUCAUAUUAAGACACGUCGAUACACUGAUAUAAGAAUAAAAGAAGUUUCGAUGUAAGUGUCGACAGAAAAUAUUGAUAUCGGCGUGAAGUCCUAAAGACGCAGAAGAAUCUGUUUUCCAAUCCGAUUUUCAUCCAAAGUUAUGUACUUAGAGCAAAAAGAUCGAACGAAUCUUAGGCAGCCGUAACUUGCAGAGUGUCGCCUGCGCUGGCUGGGAACAUGCCUGGCUGUUCCGAAUCUGCCUGCUACUGGCAGAAGCGACUAACUCAAAAUCUGCCGACUUGAUGUCCUGAAGGAGAUUCACAGGUUGCAGUGAGCACACAAUCUGAAGCGACCCUAAAAUGCAAAAUAUGAUGUCGCUGCCAUCUUCAUAUGAAUAUUAAUGUAUGUGCUAAUUUAAUGGGUGUCGGCGAGCUGUUAUAGAAAUGUACGCUAAAAUGACUUGUAACAACGGACGAGCAGUUUACAUAAUCAUGUGAACAUUGUGGGCUAAAGGCAGAGUAAAAAAUGCAUGUUCAAUUCAAAUACCUGGGUGCAUCGAAGUUGACUCUGACCUCUCUUACUCUUCUAUUUCAUA
This is a long non-coding RNA of Plodia interpunctella (Indianmeal moth), 1075 nucleotides long. RefSeq lists it as uncharacterized. Lineage: Eukaryota; Metazoa; Arthropoda; Insecta; Lepidoptera; Pyralidae. The transcript is spliced from 3 exons. The record is from RefSeq and is a predicted model, not a curated record.